CUUCACCGAGCCCAAGUACAGCGGCUUCUCACCACGCGACUUCCCGUAGGUGGCCAGCAGUGCCUGUGCCUC
RNAcentral lists this antisense RNA (72 nucleotides) under Amycolatopsis sp. YIM 10. RNAcentral's name for it is "ASpks TB sRNA". It matches the Rfam family "ASpks TB sRNA". The record is from Rfam by way of RNAcentral. Lineage: Bacteria; Bacillati; Actinomycetota; Actinomycetes; Pseudonocardiales; Pseudonocardiaceae.